Capsella rubella is the source of this 1030-nucleotide long non-coding RNA. RefSeq lists it as uncharacterized. NCBI's taxonomy places the organism in Eukaryota, Viridiplantae, Streptophyta, Magnoliopsida, Brassicales, Brassicaceae. The transcript has 5 exons. The record is from RefSeq and is a predicted model, not a curated record.
AAAUAUUUGACCUAAACACUUAAACGACACACACAAACACAUAGUCUCAUGUCCUUUCUUCAACACAUAGUCUUAUCUUCUAUGAGAAACACCACAACACAAACCCUAUCAAAUCUUGUGCUGUAGUCUCUCUCUCUCUCUCUCUCUCUCUCUCUCUCUCUCUCUCUCUCUCUCUCUCUCUCUCUCUCUUCCCAGCAAUCCUGGCACAAUAAUCGAUGAUGAUGCAAGCACUCCUCUAAAUCUUAGAUUGGGCGUUGUUUACUCAAAUUCACACACUCCAUCGUCUGAAUCUCUUCUUUCUCCGCCGUCUCUAAUUCUUCAGAUCCGAAACAUUUUGGAUUCUUCCUUCUCUUCAAAGAAUUUCUUCCUUCUCUCGAUUAAUUUGAUAUUGUGUAUGGGUUUUUAAGUAUUGAGUUGAAUUUUGUUUCUGGGUUAGCUGAUUUUGUAGGUUUAUUAUAAGAUCUGUGCAAGAAUGUUUUCUCACUUGGGUUGUGAGAUUAACCAAACGAGAGGAAGAACAAAACCCAUAAAAAGAAUCUCAAAGUUUGCUAGCUGGAGGCAGAUGAAGAUUAUGCUCGGAGAUUUGAAUCUUAAUGAGUGACAAUUUCGUUGUUAAUAAGGAGGCUUAGAACUAUGAUUGCUUAAAAGGACAACAACGAUGGCUUCACUUCGUCGAAUUUUAGAGGAAGAUCUCCAAUUAGAGAUGCAGUCUCUUAAUCCCUUCAAAAAUAUCAUUAACAAAGUAUUUGAUGAAGUAUUAAAAUUUUUUGAUGACCCUAAACGUUGGGCUGAGUCUGCUGGGAAGAAUACAUAACUAUAUGAAGAGAACACAAUCUAAGGAGGAAGCAAAGAAGAUAAUUAUGAAUUAGAUGCUGAGGGGGAUGCUGAGAGCAAGGAAGUAGCUUUAAAGAAGAGAAGAAGCCGAGAAAGAAAAUUAUCAAAACAAGAGAUUAUUGGUGAAAAAACGUGAAAAUGGCAAACAUGUAUCUGGUAGAAAGAGGGCAAAACAUACAUAAAAAUAUUCAACGAA